GAUGAACGCUAGCGGCAGGCUUAACACAUGCAAGUCGAGGGGCAGCAUAAUGGAUAGCAAUAUCUAUGGUGGCGACCGGCGCACGGGUGCGUAACGCGUAUGCAACCUACCUUUAACAGGGGGAUAACACUGAGAAAUUGGUACUAAUACCCCAUAAUAUCAUAGAAGGCAUCUUUUAUGGUUGAAAAUUCCGAUGGUUAGAGAUGGGCAUGCGUUGUAUUAGCUAGUUGGUGGGGCAACGGCUCACCAAGGCGACGAUACAUAGGGGGACUGAGAGGUUAGCCCCCCACACUGGUACUGAGACACGGGCCAGACUCCUACGGGAGGCAGCAGUGAGGAAUAUUGGUCAAUGGACGCAAGUCUGAACCAGCCAUGCCGCGUGCAGGAUGACGGCUCUAUGAGUUGUAAACUGCUUUUGUACGAGGGUAAACGCAGAUACGUGUAUCUGUCUGAAAGUAUCGGACGAAUAAGGAUCGGCUAACUCCGUG
This 488-nucleotide ribosomal RNA is filed under the name uncultured bacterium. RNAcentral's name for it is "partial 16S ribosomal RNA". It matches the Rfam family "Bacterial small subunit ribosomal RNA", at positions 28 to 507 of the family's 1533-position model. The record is from RNAcentral.